UACAGAGGUCUCAAGCGUUGUUCGGAUUCAUUGGGCGUAAAGGGUGCGUAGGCGGCGCGGUAAGUCGGGUGUGAAAUCUCGGAGCUUAACUCCGAAACUGCAUUCGAUACUGCCGUGCUUGAGGACUGGAGAGGAGACUGGAAUUUACGGUGUAGAGGUGAAAUUCGUAGAUAUUAGGAAGAACACCGGUGGCGAAGGCGGCCCACUGGAUCGGUACUGACGCUGAGGUGCGAAAGCGUGGGGAGCAAACAGG
RNAcentral lists this ribosomal RNA (253 nucleotides) under uncultured bacterium. Its description in RNAcentral is "partial 16S ribosomal RNA". It matches the Rfam family "Bacterial small subunit ribosomal RNA", at positions 524 to 776 of the family's 1533-position model. The record is from RNAcentral.